CGACGGUGAGUAACACGUAUCCAACCUGCCGUCUACUCUUGGACAGCCUUCUGAAAGGAAGAUUAAUACAAGAUGGCAUCAUGAGUCCGCAUGUUCACAUGAUUAAAGGUACUUCCGGUAGACGAUGGGGAUGCGUUCCAUUAGAUAGUAGGCGGGUAACGGCCCACCUAGUCUUCGAUGGAUAGGGGUUCUGAGAGGAAGGUCCCCCACAUUGGAACUGAGACACGGUCCAA
RNAcentral lists this ribosomal RNA (233 nucleotides) under uncultured bacterium. RNAcentral's name for it is "partial 16S ribosomal RNA". It matches the Rfam family "Bacterial small subunit ribosomal RNA", at positions 105 to 334 of the family's 1533-position model. The record is from RNAcentral.